AACGAACGCUGGCGGCAUGCCUAACACAUGCAAGUCGAACGAGACCUUCGGGUCUAGUGGCGCACGGGUGCGUAACGCGUGGGAACCUGCCCUUAGGUUCGGAAUAACUCCCCGAAAGGGGUGCUAAUACCGGAUAAUGUCUUCGGACCAAAGAUUUAUCGCCUUUGGAUGGGCCCGCGUUGGAUUAGCUAGUUGGUAGGGUAAAAGCCUACCAAGGCGACGAUCCAUAGCUGGUCUGAGAGGAUGAUCAGCCACACUGGGACUGAGACACGGCCCAGACUCCUACGGGAGGGAGGAGUGGGGAAUAUUGGAAAAUGGGCGAAAGCCUGAUCCAGCAAUGCCGCGUGAGUGAUGAAGGCCUUAGGGUUGUAAAGCUCUUUUACCCGGGAUGAUAAUGACAGUACCGGGAGAAUAAGCUCCGGCUAACUCCGUG
Molecule: ribosomal RNA, 433 nt
Filed under: uncultured bacterium
Lineage: Bacteria
Description: partial 16S ribosomal RNA
Rfam family: Bacterial small subunit ribosomal RNA
Source: RNAcentral